GACUGAAACUGAAGCUAAGAGAGGUUAAGUGACCUGCUCCUGGUAAAACUGUCCCAAGCGUUCCAGCUGGGCGUGGCUCCCAGACGUGUGUGACUUCAGUCACAGGAGGCCUGCAGGAAAAGAGAGCAGCUGGACCCCACUUCCGGUUAUACUUUGGC
RNAcentral lists this long non-coding RNA (158 nucleotides) under Capra hircus (goat). RNAcentral describes it as "lncRNA (ENSCHIG00000004490.1)". Lineage: Eukaryota; Metazoa; Chordata; Mammalia; Artiodactyla; Bovidae. The record is from RNAcentral.